Molecule: ribosomal RNA, 253 nt
Filed under: uncultured bacterium
Lineage: Bacteria
Description: partial 16S ribosomal RNA
Rfam family: Bacterial small subunit ribosomal RNA
Source: RNAcentral
UACAGAGGUCUCAAGCGUUGUUCGGAUUCAUUGGGCGUAAAGGGUGCGUAGGUGGCGUGGUAAGUCGGGUGUGAAAUUUCGGAGCUUAACUCCGAAACUGCAUUCGAUACUGCUGUGCUUGAAGACUGGAGAGGAGACUGGAAUUUACGGUGUAGCAGUGAAAUGCGUAGAGAUCGUAAGGAAGACCAGUGGCGAAGGCGGGUCUCUGGACAGUUCCUGACACUGAGGCACGAAGGCCAGGGGAGCAAACGGG